GACUAAUUGGCCACCUUAUCAUUAUAUAAUGACCAUCUUUGUCUCUUGUUACCAUUUUUGCCUUAAAGUCUAUGUUGUCUGGUAUAAGUAUAGCUACUCCUGCUCUCUUUUGUUUCCACUUACGUGGAAUAUCUUUUGCCAUCCCUUCACUUUGAGCCUAUGUGUGUCCUUAAAGCUGAAGUAAGCCUCUUGUAGGCAGCAUAUAGUUGGGUCUUGUUUUCUACCCAUCCAGCUACUCUCUGCCUUUUGAUUGGAGAAUUCAAUCCAUUAGCAUUUAGAGUAAUGAUCGAUUGGUAAGGACUUACUAAUGAGAUCUUUUAAAUUGUUUUCUGGCCAUUUUGUAGUUCUAUUUUUCUUUUAUUCCUUUCUUGCUGUCUUCCUUUGUAAAUUGAGGAAUUCCUUAGUGGUACGCUUUACGUUUACCUUCCUUAGUGGUACCCUUCCUCUUUACCUUUUGUGUAUGUACUGUACAUUUUUGCUUGGCGGUUCCCAUGUGGCUUACAUAGAACAUAUAUAUAACAGUCUAUCGUACACUGAUAAUUUCAUUUUGAUUACAUACAAAAACUCAAUCCUUCUUCUACGCCCUUUUAUAUUUUUAUGUCACCAUUUACAUCUUUUUAUAUUGUGUAACGAUUGACGUUAACAAAUUGUUGAAGCUAUAGCCAUUUUAAUACUUUUGUCCUUCAACCUUUAUAUAGAGUUAAGUAGUCAACACAUCACCAUAUUACAGUAUUCUGAAUCUAACCCUAUGCUUACUUUUACCAGUGUGUUGUAUAUUUUCACAUGUUUUCAUGUUACUAAUUAGCAUCCUUUUGUUUCAGCUUGAAGAACUCUUUUCAGCAUUUCUCGUAAGGCAGAUUUAGUGGUAAGGAAUCCCCUCAGCUUUUGUUUAUUAGGGAAAGUUUUUAUUUUGCCUUCAAUUCUAAAAGGCAGCUUUGCUGGGUAAAGUAUUCUUGACUGUCAGCUUCUUUCUUUCAGCGUCUUGAAUAUAUCAUCCCAUUCUCUCCUGGCCUGCAAGGUCUCUGCUGAGAUAUCCACUAAUAGCCUUAUAGAAGUUCCCUUGUACGAGUUUUUUUUUUUCUUUUGCUGCUUUUAGAAUUCUCUCUUUGGUUUUAGACAGUUUUUGUUGUUGUUGUUGUUGUUUUGUUUUGUUUUACAUCUCUUGGAGAAGAUUGUUUUGGGUUGAAAUUUUUAGGUGACCUAUUAGUUUCAUGAACUUGGAUAUCUUAAUCUCUUCCCAUGUUUGGGAAGCUCUCAGUCAUUAUUCUUUAAAUAAGCUUUCUUCUCCUUUUCCCCUCUCUUCUCCUUCUGGAACUCCAAUGACGUAUACAUUAUUUUUUAUGGUGCCCCAUAAUUCCCCUAGGCUUUCUUCAUCCUUUGCCAUUCUUUUUUCUUCUUGCUCAUUGAUUGGAUAAUUUCGAUUGGUCUAUCUUCGCACUCAUUGAUUCUCUCUUCUGUUUGCUAAAGUCUACUGUUGAAGCUCUCUGUUGAAUUCUUCAGUUCAGUUAUUGUAUUCUUCAGCUCCAAAAUUUCUGUUUGGUUCUUUUUAUUUUUUCUAUCUUUUUUAGAACUUCUCAUUUUGUUCUUGUAUUGUUUCCUGAUAGCAUUAAAUUGUUUAUCUGUGUUCUCGUGUAGCUCUCUGAGCAUAUGUAGAAUAAUUAUUUUGAAUUCUUUAUUGGGCAAUUCCUGGAUCUCCAUUUCUCUGGGGCCAGUUGCUGAAAUGUUACUGUAUUCCUUUGGUGGAGACAUGUUUCCCUGAUUCUUCAUGAUCCCUGUAGCCUUCAAUAGAUGUCAGCAUAUUUGAAGAAGCAGUCAUUUCUUCCAGACUUGAUGGACUGACUGCUGUAAGGGAAGCCUUUUACCUGCAGAAGGGGGCAUACUGGAUCAUGUUGUGACCCUGGGUCUACUGGUGCAGGGUGCCAAGUGUGGUCUGGAGAAGUGCAGUGUCUCUUCAGCUCAGGCCGCUGUGUGGUCCUUGCUCGUAGCCGGCUGUAUUGACAUUUCAGCUUUGCUGGUGGGGUGGGGUGAAACUGAAGCAGAACCUUCGUGAGGGGUCCCAGGAAGCUGAGGACGCUGUCACUCACCCCACUCUUAAGGAAGGGGGUUAAAAGAAGAGAGAAGAAUUAUUAGAGGUAUACACACAAUGGUACCAAGUGACAUCUGAGAACCUAAAGAAAGGACAAAGAAAGAAAUGCUACAAACAGACUCAAAAACUCAGAAGCGGGCUUCCCUGGUGGCCCAGUGGUUGAGAGUCCGCCUGCCGAUGCAGGGGACACGGGUUCGU
Molecule: long non-coding RNA, 2284 nt
Organism: Aethalodelphis obliquidens (Pacific white-sided dolphin)
Lineage: Eukaryota; Metazoa; Chordata; Mammalia; Artiodactyla; Delphinidae
Exons: 3
Source: RefSeq, a predicted model, not a curated record